RNAcentral lists this ribosomal RNA (607 nucleotides) under uncultured bacterium. Its description in RNAcentral is "bacterial SSU rRNA". The stretch from base 1 to 518 matches the Rfam family "Bacterial small subunit ribosomal RNA", at positions 338 to 873 of the family's 1533-position model. The record is from RNAcentral.
CCUACGGGAGGCAGCAGUGGGGAAUAUUGGACAAUGGGCGAAAGCCUGAUCCAGCAAUGCCGCGUGAGUGAUGAAGGCCUUAGGGUUGUAAAGCUCUUUUACCAGGGAUGAUAAUGACAGUACCUGGAGAAUAAGCUCCGGCUAACUCCGUGCCAGCAGCCGCGGUAAUACGGAGGGAGCUAGCGUUGUUCGGAAUUACUGGGCGUAAAGCGUACGUAGGCGGUUAUUCAAGUCAGAGGUGAAAGCCUGGAGCUCAACUCCAGAACUGCCUUUGAAACUAGAUAGCUAGAAUCUUGGAGAGGUGAGUGGAAUUCCGAGUGUAGAGGUGAAAUUCGUAGAUAUUCGGAAGAACACCAGUGGCGAAGGCGACUCACUGGACAAGUAUUGACGCUGAGGUACGAAAGCGUGGGGAGCAAACAGGAUUAGAUACCCUGGUAGUCCACGCCGUAAACGAUGAUAACUAGCUGUUCGGGCUCUACGAGCUUGAGUGGCGCAGCUACGACAUUAAGUUAUCCGCCGUCGGGAGGUACGGUCGCGAAGAAUUAAACUAACAAAGAAAGUUAGACGGCGUGAGACGUGCCGAACGGACGACGACGAGGGAGGUAGG